RNAcentral lists this transfer RNA (73 nucleotides) under Camelus bactrianus (Bactrian camel). It matches the Rfam family "tRNA". Rfam says of the family: Transfer RNA (tRNA) molecules are approximately 80 nucleotides in length. RNAcentral also lists the same sequence under 2 other names. Lineage: Eukaryota; Metazoa; Chordata; Mammalia; Artiodactyla; Camelidae. The record is from Rfam by way of RNAcentral.
GAGGGUACAGCUCAGUUGGUAGAGUGCUUGCUUAGCAUGCAUGAGGUCCUGGGUUCGAUCCCCAGUGCCUCCA